CGGGGUGCAGCAGGCGCGAAAACUCUACAAUGCAGGCAACUGCGAUAGGGGAACAUCGAGUGAUACUCAUAUUGGGUGUCUGUCCUUCCGUCUAAAAAACGGGAGUUAGCAAGGGCCGGGCAAGACCGGUGCCAGCCGCCGCGGUAAUACCGGCGGCUCGAGUGGUGGCCGAUAUUAUUGAGUCUAAAGGGUCCGUAGCCGGCUUGGCAAGUCUCUUGGGAAAUCCGGCGGCUUAACCGUCGGUCGUCCGGGAGAUACUACUUUGCUUGGGACUGGGAGAGGCGUGAGGUACUCAGGGGGUAGGAGUGAAAUCCUGUAAUCCUUUGGGGACCACCGGUGGCGAAGGCGUCACGCCAGAACAGGUCCGACGGUGAGGGACGAAAGCUAGGGGCACGAACCGGAUUAGAUACCCGGGUAGUCCUAGCCGUAAACGAUGCUCGCUAGGUGUCACGACAAUCGUGAAUUGUCGUGGUGCCGUAGGGAAGCCGUGAAGCGAGCCACUUGGGAAGUACGACCGCAAGGUUGAAACUUAAAGGAAUUGCGGGGGAGCACAAGGGCGAAUCGCG
This 566-nucleotide ribosomal RNA is filed under the name uncultured archaeon. Its description in RNAcentral is "bacterial SSU rRNA". It matches the Rfam family "Archaeal small subunit ribosomal RNA", at positions 326 to 897 of the family's 1478-position model. The record is from RNAcentral.